Molecule: transfer RNA, 52 nt
Filed under: Trachylepis polytropis (tropical mabuya)
Lineage: Eukaryota; Metazoa; Chordata; Lepidosauria; Squamata; Scincidae
Description: partial tRNA-Tyr
Source: RNAcentral
UAGGCGGCAGGUUGUAGCCCUGUGCAGGCGGGUUUAGUCCCGUUCUUAUCAA